CACCGCGGUUAGACGAGAGGCCUAAGUUGAUAGCUUCCGGCGUAAAGAGUGGUUAAGGAAACCCCUAAACUAAAGCCGAAUAUUCUCACAGCUGUCAUACGCACCCGAGAAUAAGAAGCCCCACCACGAAAGUGGCUUUAACCCACCCGACCCCACGAAAGCUGUGAAACAAACUGGGAUUAGAUACCCCACUAUGCACAGCCCUAAACUUUGAUAGAAACAUUACACCCACUAUCCGCCAGGGUACUACGAGCUCUAGCUUAAAAUCCAAAGGACUUGGCGGUGCUUUAGACCCACCUAGAGGAGCCUGUUCUAGAACCGACAACCCCCGUUCAACCUCACCCUCCCUUGUUUAUCCCGCCUAUAUACCGCCGUCGUCAGCUUACCCCAUGAAGGAUUCAUAGUAAGCAAAACCAGUAUAACUUAAAACGCCAGGUCGAGGUGUAGCGCAUGAGAGGGGAAGAAAUGGGCUACAUUCCCUAAAUAAGGGCACACGGAAAAUACAAUGAAAUGCGUAUUAGAAGGAGGAUUUAGCAGUAAGCAGAAAAUAGAGUGUUCUACUGAAACUGGCCCUGAAGCGCGCACACACCGCCCGUCACUCUCCCCAAACACAUAAAUCACAUAAUUAAUAAGUCAAACAAACAAAGGGGAGGCAAGUCGUAA
RNAcentral lists this ribosomal RNA (663 nucleotides) under Tylosurus crocodilus crocodilus (hound needlefish). RNAcentral's name for it is "partial 12S ribosomal RNA". It matches the Rfam family "Bacterial small subunit ribosomal RNA", at positions 513 to 1491 of the family's 1533-position model. Lineage: Eukaryota; Metazoa; Chordata; Actinopteri; Beloniformes; Belonidae. The record is from RNAcentral.